AAAAAAAGAAAGAAUGUUGUCUUCCCUCGCCAUGUGAUUCCAAUGUCUGGAGUCAAAAAUAUUAAACAAUCCUUGCUUUAAAGUUUGAUCCAGUUUGCACAAUUGGGUGAAAAAUAACUUUUGGAUCAAAAAGUGUUUCAUCAAAAUUUAUUUAGAGGGCAAUAUUUUGGAUAAGUUACUGAACUAAAGGAUCCAAAAGGAAUAAAGAUUUGGAAAAAGUGAUUCAACCAAGUUUUGAAAAAUUUGACCAUAAUUUCUCUUCUGAAAAAGUUUAUUUGUAAUUAUGUUGUUAUUUAACUUGUAAUUAGUGUAAAAUAAACCUUUUUGAUGUUUUAACUUCUUUGUUUUCAUUGUUGACACUUCUGGAUAUUGUCUCUUCUUAUUUCUUAUGUAGACAUGCUCACAUAUUUUUUUGGUAAUAAUUUUUGAGCUAAAAUUCUUUCUCUCGAUAAAAUUGUUUUCGAGAUGCUUACCUUUAAUGGAUACUUAUGGUGUUUAAAAAUUAAUUUAUCCAUAAGUU
Long non-coding RNA from Uloborus diversus, 520 nucleotides. RefSeq lists it as uncharacterized. The record is from RefSeq and is a predicted model, not a curated record. The transcript has 3 exons. Lineage: Eukaryota; Metazoa; Arthropoda; Arachnida; Araneae; Uloboridae.